UAGUUCAGCACUAAGUCACUUUGCUUUUAUGGUAAAUGUGAGAUGCAGUGUAUGGAACAUCAUAAAUCUAGUAUGAGAAAUUAACGAUUUAAGUCCUUCUUAAAUGAGGCCAUUUACCCAUAGAGGGUGCCAGGCCCGUAUAACGUUAAUGAUUACUAGAGGUUGUUUCCAAAGAGUCGUGUUGCUUGAUAGUGCAGCACUAAGUGGGUGGUAAACUCCAUCUAAAACUAAAUAUAACCAUGAGACCGAUAGUAAACAAGUACCGUGAGGGAAAGUUGAAAAGAACUCUGAAUAGAGAGUUAAAUAGUACGUGAAACUGCUUAGAGGUUAAGCCCGAUGAACCUGAAUAUCCAUUGUAGAAAAUUCAGCAUUGUGAAUAAGUGAAGCAGUGUGCAUUUUUUCUGCAUAAGGACAUUGUAAUCUAUUAACAAUAUAUGUAUUUAUCAAAAGAUCAUUUGCAGCAGUUUAUUCAAAUUAAUUUGCGUUUGCUUGUUAACACAGAAUAAUUGCAUGAUGAUUGGAUAAAGUGUUGAUAGAUUUAUUAUAUAUGGUGCUUAAAUUCAUUUGAAUUUUAUAAUGACAUUGGAUUCAUUGAUUCUGCGUGUUCAUUAUAUGCGCUUAUAUGAU
This 627-nucleotide ribosomal RNA is filed under the name Lotophila atra. RNAcentral describes it as "eukaryotic LSU rRNA". It matches the Rfam family "Eukaryotic large subunit ribosomal RNA", at positions 104 to 634 of the family's 3401-position model. The record is from RNAcentral. Lineage: Eukaryota; Metazoa; Arthropoda; Insecta; Diptera; Sphaeroceridae.